This 228-nucleotide ribosomal RNA is filed under the name uncultured Streptococcus sp. RNAcentral describes it as "partial 16S ribosomal RNA". It matches the Rfam family "Bacterial small subunit ribosomal RNA", at positions 1153 to 1382 of the family's 1533-position model. The record is from RNAcentral. Lineage: Bacteria; Bacillati; Bacillota; Bacilli; Lactobacillales; Streptococcaceae.
CGUAAAGUACGGAGGAAGGUGGGGAUGACGUCAAAUCAUCAUGCCCCUUAUGACCUGGGCUACACACGUGCUACAAUGGUUGGUACAACGAGUUGCGAGUCGGUGACGGCGAGCUAAUCUCUUAAAGCCAAUCUCAGUUCGGAUUGUAGGCUGCAACUCGCCUACAUGAAGUCGGAAUCGCUAGUAAUCGCGGAUCAGCACGCCGCGGUGAAUACGUUCCCGGGCCUU